GUUCUGUGCUUGCAAACAUAUACAGGGUGUGAGGGUUAAAUUGUCGCCAUUUUAUAUUUUUAAUUUCAUGAAUGUGAAUUGUUUGUUUUUGAUUUUAUCAACUACACAGUAUAGAAGGGACAGUUGGGCACUGUCUGUGAGAAAAACAAC
This is a long non-coding RNA of Octopus sinensis (East Asian common octopus), 150 nucleotides long. RefSeq lists it as uncharacterized. The record is from RefSeq and is a predicted model, not a curated record. The transcript is spliced from 3 exons. Lineage: Eukaryota; Metazoa; Mollusca; Cephalopoda; Octopoda; Octopodidae.